Molecule: ribosomal RNA, 427 nt
Filed under: uncultured bacterium
Lineage: Bacteria
Description: partial 16S ribosomal RNA
Rfam family: Bacterial small subunit ribosomal RNA
Source: RNAcentral
UGGGGAAUAUUGGACAAUGGGCGAAAGCCUGAUCCAGCCAUGCCGCGUGUGUGAAGAAGGUCUUCGGAUUGUAAAGCACUUUAAGUUGGGAGGAAGGGCAUUAACCUAAUACGUUAGUGUUUUGACGUUACCGACAGAAUAAGCACCGGCUAACUCUGUGCCAGCAGCCGCGGUAAUACAGAGGGUGCAAGCGUUAAUCGGAAUUACUGGGCGUAAAGCGCGCGUAGGUGGUUUGUUAAGUUGGAUGUGAAAUCCCCGGGCUCAACCUGGGAACUGCAUUCAAAACUGACUGACUAGAGUAUGGUAGAGGGUGGUGGAAUUUCCUGUGUAGCGGUGAAAUGCGUAGAUAUAGGAAGGAACACCAGUGGCGAAGGCGACCACCUGGACUAAUACUGACACUGAGAGACGAAAGCUAGGGGAGCGAAUG